Molecule: ribosomal RNA, 251 nt
Filed under: uncultured prokaryote
Description: partial 16S ribosomal RNA
Rfam family: Bacterial small subunit ribosomal RNA
Source: RNAcentral
UACGGAGGAUGCAAGCGUUAUCCGGAUUUAUUGGGCUUAAAGGGUGCGCAGGUUGUUUGAUAAGUCAGUGGUGAAAGUCUGUCGCUUAACGGUAGGAUUGCCAUUGAUACUGUUGGACUUGAAUAUGGAUGAGGUAGGCGGAAUGUGUAGUGUAGCGGUGAAAUGCAUAGAUAUUACACAGAACACCGAUUGCGAAGGCAGCUUACUAAUCCAUCAAUUGACGGCUGAGGCACGAAAGCGUGGGGAUCAAA